GACACGGGGUCCGCGGGCGGGAGGGAGAGCUGAGCCGGCGGAGAAGAUGCUGAGGAAAGGGUCGGUGCUGGCCCGGGCUGCACCUCGGUGCCUUGCCACCCCGGGAGACGCGAAGGGGCUGCUGUGCGAAGUCGAUGGGAGCUGCUGAGACCGAGAACUGGGAGCGUAGUGGAGCCAGGCUGCCCAGCAGGGCCAUGGGGGCGCGCGGCGGGCCAAGGCUCUGCGGGUCCGCGCUACCCCUCGGAGUGACCCGAAGGAGACCAGCCGGGGCUGGAGAAAUGGGUUCCCUGAGACAAGUGUGACCUACGUGCCCAGCCCACCAGCCUGACGCCUAGCCAGAGAGAGAGGACCAUGGAUGGCAUCAUUGAACAGAAGAGCAUGCUGGUGCACAGUAAAAUCAGUGAUGCUGGCAAGAGGAAUGGCUUAAUUAACACCAGAAACUUGAUGGCCGAGAGCAGAGAUGGUCUGGUAUCUGUUUACCCAGCGCCCCAGUACCAGAGCCACCGGGUGGGGGCCAGCCCAGUGCCGGCCAGCCUGGACAGCACCAGGAGUGAGCCGGUGCAGCAGCUGCUGGACCCCAACACCCUGCAGCAGUCGGUGGAGUCCCGCUACAGGCCCAACAUCAUCCUGUAUUCAGAGGGCGUGCUGCGUUCCUGGGGGGACGGUGUGGCCACCGACUGCUGUGAGACCACCUUCAUCGAGGACCGGUCACCCACCAAAGACAGCCUCGAGUACCCCGAUGGGAAGUUCAUCGACCUCUCAGCUGAUGACAUAAAAAUCCAUACCCUGUCCUACGAUGUGGAGGAGGAGGAGGAGUUCCAGGAGCUGGAGAGCGACUACUCGAGCGACACAGAGAGUGAGGACAAUUUCCUCAUGAUGCCCCCGCGGGACCACCUGGGCCUCAGUGUCUUCUCCAUGCUCUGCUGCUUCUGGCCUCUGGGCAUCGCAGCCUUCUACUUGUCCCAUGAGGUUGCAGGACAUCUCCCUUGGGGGCUGUGUCUGAUGCCCUGCAGCCAGCCCUGCUGAUGGAGCCUGGCUGCUUCCUGCGUUCCCAAUGAUGAGCCCUUGUGCCCUGGGCUGUUAAGGCUCUGCCUCUGCUGUGAGCUGAAACGCUUUCUCUGAAGAGCCCUCAUGGUGCAGAAAUAGUGUCUUUGGGUCCUGCUGAGCCCCUACCCCCAGCCCACCGCUGGCACAAGGUGCAGGCACCAGGCACUACUUGGGGCUUCCCCAACCACCUGCAUUUUCUAACCACCUGCACUUAUUUUCCAACGAAAGGCCAAUAAAGAAAGUCACAAACUUCACUUGCAGCCUGUCGGCAAGAGGGCAGGGAGGGAAAAGCCCAGCCACAAGAAAUAACAAUCUUGACAAACUUUUUUGCACCUACACACAAAGCCUUGCCUUCAGCUCAGAGACUCUUGGACUCAGGUCAAGUUGCCCUGCCCUCAUGCACAGCAAAAACCCUUGUCAAAGAGCCGGGAGCUUUCAUCCAGCAGCCGUCAGGAUGGAAACAUGUCUUCCCAUUUGCACCCUGUCAAAGGAAUGAGCACGCUGUUUCGCAGCCACAGUUAUCCAUUUUCUGAAACAAAAGGUUCACGUCAGACCAACAAAGCCGUGGCCAAGGGGGACUUGCACCAGGCCAGCACCAGCUCCCGGCGGGCCCUGUUCCUGGCAGUGCUGUCCAUCACCAUUGGGACUGGCGUCUAUGUGGGCGUGGCCGUGGCCCUUAUCGCCUACCUCUCCAAGAACAACCACCUGUGAGCUUCCUCCAAACAGAGGGGGAGCGCCCGGGGCCAGGUCUGUGUGGACGUGGAGGAAGCAGACAUACCGCAUGACGCUGUACAGUACAAAUGAUUGCCAAAAGACGCCGCGAAGCCCUGGGAUUUCCUACCCGUGAAUUUCUUUUGUUUUUAUCCUUUAAUUUCAUGUUCACAGCACUGUGUAGAGCACCAGACAGACGGGCACUGCUAAUGCUUCCAAAGGAAAGCUCCAAAGAUCCCAGCCCGCAAGGCUGUCUCUGGAUGGAUUCUGGUGGAUGAAUGGCAACGUGGCUCUCUGCAGCCUGCCAGUGCCCAGAGUGCCACCGCAUGAGCAAUAUACAAACAGUCCAAAAAAGUGUUUAUUUUUUAUGGAACACGGUGCAAUAGGCAGAGGACAAGGGACACAUCACUCUUCUGUCUGUGGCCCUGCUGGAGUCCUUUGUGCCCCUUCUGAGUCCACACGCCUUCCCUGCAAGAUGAGAAUGGGGCUGGGAAGAAAGAGGUGACACCAUGGCUGGCAGGAGCCCCGCUGCACUGCUCUGCAGAUCCAUUGGUCUGACCCUGGAAGCAGAGCUAGCCCGGGACCUGCCCCUGUUCCUUUCCCUACACACCACCCCAGCCUCAAGAUGUCGAGCCACUCCAGAACGUGUCUACACUCCACAGCUACCCCGCAGCAAUACGCACUCUUGGGACCUCACUGAUCUAGGAUGGGGAGGCAGGCCACCGCCCCUCCCAAGACUCCUCAAGAAAGAGCCCCGCGGUUGCUCCAGAAACUUGAGGCACUGCAGCCGUGGGCACUGCCUCAGCGUAAAGACACAGGGGCGCCUCCCAAUCACCGCGCUGGCGGAUGCUCACCCCGUCAUAAGCAGAAACUAGUGAUCCUGGAAACGAGAUGGGCCUUACUCUGUCGACUAAAUGAAUAGCUAUUUUCUUGUCAUUUUUUAAAGUGCAACUCUUGCUUCAUGCUGCUUAAGUUACCAGACGAAUGCUGAGAAAUAAGUAAUCACAGACAUUUUAAUACCAUUUCA
Molecule: RNA transcript, 2785 nt
Organism: Rhinopithecus roxellana (golden snub-nosed monkey)
Lineage: Eukaryota; Metazoa; Chordata; Mammalia; Primates; Cercopithecidae
Gene: SYNDIG1
Gene name: synapse differentiation inducing 1
Exons: 5
Source: RefSeq, a predicted model, not a curated record